Molecule: ribosomal RNA, 311 nt
Filed under: uncultured Pelagibacterales bacterium
Lineage: Bacteria; Pseudomonadati; Pseudomonadota; Alphaproteobacteria; Candidatus Pelagibacterales
Description: SSU rRNA
Rfam family: Bacterial small subunit ribosomal RNA
Source: RNAcentral
ACGUACGCUGGCGGCACGCCUAACACAUGCAAGUCGAACGAAGUAGCAAUACUUAGUGGCAGACGGGUGAGUAACAUGUAGGUAUCUGCCCUUUGGCCUGGAAUAACACGAGGAAACUUGUGCUAAUACUGGAUAAGUCUUUACGGAGAAAGCUUUAUGCACCAUUGGAUUAGCCCGCGUUAGAUUAGAUAGUUGGUGGGGUAAUGGCCUACCAAGUCUACGAUCUAUAGCUGGUUUGAGAGGAUGAUCAGCAACACUGGGACUGAGACACGGCCCAGACUCCUACGGGAGGCAGCAGUGGGGAAUCUUGC